This 1369-nucleotide ribosomal RNA is filed under the name uncultured bacterium. RNAcentral's name for it is "bacterial SSU rRNA". It matches the Rfam family "Bacterial small subunit ribosomal RNA", at positions 28 to 1381 of the family's 1533-position model. The record is from RNAcentral.
GACGAACGCUGGCGGCGUGCCUAAUACAUGCAAGUAGAACGCUGAAGAGAGGAGCUUGCUCUUCUUGGAUGAGUUGCGAACGGGUGAGUAACGCGUAGGUAACCUGCCUUGUAGCGGGGGAUAACUAUUGGAAACGAUAGCUAAUACCGCAUAACAAUGGAUGACACAUGUCAUUUAUUUGAAAGGGGCAAUUGCUCCACUACAAGAUGGACCUGCGUUGUAUUAGCUAGUAGGUGAGGUAACGGCUCACCUAGGCGACGAUACAUAGCCGACCUGAGAGGGUGAUCGGCCACACUGGGACUGAGACACGGCCCAGACUCCUACGGGAGGCAGCAGUAGGGAAUCUUCGGCAAUGGGGGCAACCCUGACCGAGCAACGCCGCGUGAGUGAAGAAGGUUUUCGGAUCGUAAAGCUCUGUUGUAAGUCAAGAACGAGUGUGAGAGUGGAAAGUUCACACUGUGACGGUAGCUUACCAGAAAGGGACGGCUAACUACGUGCCAGCAGCCGCGGUAAUACGUAGGUCCCGAGCGUUGUCCGGAUUUAUUGGGCGUAAAGCGAGCGCAGGCGGUUUGAUAAGUCUGAAGUUAAAGGCUGUGGCUCAACCAUAGUUCGCUUUGGAAACUGUCAAACUUGAGUGCAGAAGGGGAGAGUGGAAUUCCAUGUGUAGCGGUGAAAUGCGUAGAUAUAUGGAGGAACACCGGUGGCGAAAGCGGCUCUCUGGUCUGUAACUGACGCUGAGGCUCGAAAGCGUGGGGAGCGAACAGGAUUAGAUACCCUGGUAGUCCACGCCGUAAACGAUGAGUGCUAGGUGUUGGAUCCUUUCCGGGAUUCAGUGCCGCAGCUAACGCAUUAAGCACUCCGCCUGGGGAGUACGACCGCAAGGUUGAAACUCAAAGGAAUUGACGGGGGCCCGCACAAGCGGUGGAGCAUGUGGUUUAAUUCGAAGCAACGCGAAGAACCUUACCAGGUCUUGACAUCCCGAUGCUAUUUCUAGAGAUAGAAAGUUACUUCGGUACAUCGGUGACAGGUGGUGCAUGGUCGUCGUCAGCUCGUGUCGUGAGAUGUUGGGUUAAGUCCCGCAACGAGCGCAACCCCUAUUGUUAGUUGCCAUCAUUCAGUUGGGCACUCUAGCGAGACUGCCGGUAAUAAACCGGAGGAAGGUGGGGAUGACGUCAAAUCAUCAUGCCCCUUAUGACCUGGGCUACACACGUGCUACAAUGGUUGGUACAACGAGUUGCGAGUCGGUGACGGCAAGCUAAUCUCUUAAAGCCAAUCUCAGUUCGGAUUGUAGGCUGCAACUCGCCUACAUGAAGUCGGAAUCGCUAGUAAUCGCGGAUCAGCACGCCGCGGUGAAUACGUUCCCGGGCCU